CACAAGCAGUGGAGUAUGUGGUUUAAUUCGACGCAACGCGAAGAACCUUACCAAGUCUUGACAUCCUGCGACGGACAUAGAAAUAUGUCUUUCCUUCGGGACGCAGAGACAGGUGGUGCAUGGUUGUCGUCAGCUCGUGUCGUGAGAUGUUGGGUUAAGUCCCGCAACGAGCGCAACCCUUAUUGCCAGUUACUACGUUAAGAGGACUCUGGCGAGACUGCCGUUGACAAAACGGAGGAA
This 240-nucleotide ribosomal RNA is filed under the name uncultured bacterium. RNAcentral describes it as "partial 16S ribosomal RNA". It matches the Rfam family "Bacterial small subunit ribosomal RNA", at positions 924 to 1171 of the family's 1533-position model. The record is from RNAcentral.